UGUACAUGUUGAUAAACUUUAUGAAGAGUUAGACGUACAACACUUUCUGAGAUAAAAAUCACGGAAAAAGACGCAGGCAGUGGAUAAUCCGAGAAUUUAAUUAGGUUUUUAUAUUUGUAAUAAAUAGUCAGCGAUUAAAGACAACAUCGUCUUGUGUAUGCAAUGCAUUUACUAUUUUAGUGUAUACGUGUAGUCAGUGCCGGACUGGGGCCACCUGUCCACCUGUCCGUGACAGGUGGGCCUAAGCUCAUUAAAAAAAAGUGGGCCUAAGCCUAUAAACAAAAAAGAAAAAAGAGAAAGAAAGGAGAGGGGGGAGAAAAGAAAGAAAGAAGGAGCGGGCAGGACACAGGACUGGAGAAAGAAAUGAUUGGAAAAAAAUGACUGACAAACAACACAAAAAAAGAAGUGUACUAGAAUUCUCAAAUUCAUCUAAUGAUAGUGCUCUUAGGUCAUUCUGUUAUCUAAUUGUACCAGGAAAUCAAAAAUUUGCCUUCUUCUGCUUUGGUCUGAAAUGCUUGGAAAAUGGGUUUGCGGUUGACAAUUUUCAAACCUUUUCUGGGAGAAGAAGCCACCCAGACCCCCCUCGGACGUUUUCGCGCCUUUGGCACGCUCGUGACGCGCCGUCGGCGCGUACUUGUGUGGGUCUUGGUCAAUGACCUGACAGAGUCCAGCAGUGCAUGUAGUUAAGACCAUGCCUUCCACUUUGGAAUGGUGAAUGACUCAUGUCUUAUGUGCCUUACUACUGGAAUGACCCCUGUUAGCCCUGUACUGAAGUCAAAGGGCAUUCCCGAACUUAGGGUACUUCCACUGAACUCAGUGGCAUGUCUGGAAUUUUAUGCUUAUUCUGAUAGGCGACGGCCAAGGUUUGGAUAUCUUGAGAAUUUUCACUUGGUUUCCGGCUCUGGGUACACCAUAUAUUAAACCUUUCGAUAGUUGGAGAUUUCUGCAAUGGUUUUGUGUAAUAUCAUUAAGAAUCGAAUGAUUUUUCAAUGAUCAAUAAAGGAUGGGCAGGGAUGGAUUUAAUUUAUUCUCUAUGACAUGAAUGAUACAUUAAACCAUGUAAAAUAGACAUGCGCAUUCUUUUCUUUGUUUUGUAAUCAAUCGAAUACCCACCAGAAAUAUUAGCCAAUCACAGUGCAGGCUUGUAUAGCGAACACAUAGGUAGCUGAUUCUUUACAGGUGAUCUGAAUUAUGGAACGCCAAACUAACAUAAAAUCAAUUCACUGCCAAUGGGUCCCGUCAAUUAAAUGAAUAUUUGUAAAUUUGUCGUUCCAUACAGCUAGAGACGCCGAUUCGAACAACCCAGUCGCCUGGUAACCGUGGUGAGUACUUUUCAGAUACAAACUUUAGAAAGCAAACAUCCCCCAACCGUCCUUCAAUUUGAAAUUGAGCGGCCAAGUGAAAGCAUCUAUUCACAUUAGCCAAAUAUAGGAUACGUCUCUCAUCUCAAACAGACAUAUCUCCUGUUAUCGGUCGGACGAUGGCGGCGUGGUAGUUCUUCUUUGGAUUGCACUAAAGGAGACAAGAAGUUUAUGGUAUCAUAGAGAGGUCCACACACGUUAUUAUUUAUCUUAUACUGGGUCUGUCUUUAUAUUCUGGCUGGUUGAUGUGUAUAAGCUUGGCUUGUGCACCAGAUUCCUUUGUAAAUAUCAUGUGAAGUUUUCCAUGAUGUAUUAAUAGGUUUUUUUUGGUUGAAAGUUGUAGACAUGGGGAGUAAUUAAAUUGGGAUAUAUUAAUAUGGCAUCAAUCAACUAAUCCCACAUCUCCUUUAGGCAACUAAUAUUUUCUUUUUGGGGUUCUUCUUUUGUUUGUUUUUUUUUGCAUGUUUUUCACUGCAUUUGCUUAAGUAAGGGGUGCUAUAUUUAAUAUAUUCUGAUAUUUGGUUUAUCUUAGAUUUUUAAUGCCCUUAAUGUAUAUUGCAAAUUUCUCAUGAGAGUCCAGUAAAGAUAAUCUUGUAUAACGUGUUUCUAUGAUAAACUUAGAUGUAUUGUUGAUAGUGGGGUCUAGAGAGUUUACGGAUACAGGAUCGUGGGGAUAUGUUUGUAAGGGACGUAUGAAGACGGUGAUAGUUGUGGAUGAGCAGGACACACAGCAUAUUAUACAUGGAGGUAUUAUUGUACAGACAAUUGUUAUGCAAUCGAUGAGGACCACAACAAUGUUAAGACGCCGAAUGAUCAAUAUGACGAUUACCACUGGUAUAGGAGAACAGACAGGCUGUGAUUUGGAUAGAUGUCAAGCGGCAGUUUAUGGUACCGGGAACUCGACUGGGAAAUGGAAGUUGCAUAGGGAAAUUCUAGAUUGGCAAUAACAGGUUUAUGUUUUUUCUGUAUGUAUUGUAUAUAUUUUCUAAAUUUUCAUGGGUCUGUCUGAUAGGUACAGUAAAGGACAUUCUGUUGACUAGUUUGAAACACAUCUUAAAAUGGGGACCCCUUGGAAACACUGACUUUUAGUUAGGCUUGAGGUGUAAAACUACUUAAGGGACCGAGUCUAUCUGUUAUGUCUAGGGUAACAUGUCAUAACUUCAACAACAACGAUCACAUCGAAGAUGUUUACCUCUAUCGGGAGAAAACACACCGACGACCAGAUGGGACGGACAGUUUCUUCAUACAUACAGAAAAUAAACACCAUAACUUCAUCAACAAAGAUCACACCGAAUAUGUUUAUCUCUAUCGGGAGAAAACACCGACGUUCAGAUGGGACGGACAGUUUCUUCAUACAUACACAAAAUAAACACCAUAACUUCAACAACAAAGAUCACACCGAAUAUGUUUAUCUCUAUCGGGAGAAAACACCGACGGUCAGAUGGGACGGACAGUUUCUUCAUACAUACACAAAAUAAACACCAUAACUUCAACAACAAAGAUCACACCGAAUAUGUUUAUCUCUAUCGGGAGAAAACACCGACGGUCAGAUGGGACGGACAGUUUCUUCAUACAUACACAAAAUAAACACCAUAACUUCAACAAAGAUCACACCGAAUAUGUUUGUCUCUAUCGAGAGAAAACACACCGACGGUCAGAUGGGACGAACAGUUUCUUCUAUAUCCCGAAAACACAACAUAAACAGAUACUUCACUAGUCUACAGACACAACAUAAGUUUCUUCACUAGUCUACAGACACUACAGACACAAAAGUUUCUUCACUAUUCUACAUACACAAAGAUUCGGGGUUCCUUGCAGCCAGGUGGCGAGACCUGUGCUUGAGGUUAUUGUCUGGAGAUUAGAAAUGGUGGUAAUGGUUGUAGGCUGCAGACGUACCAUUACUUCUUAGAACAUGUACACAACUACAUUCAGUCCAAUUUAGGACUUCCGUUCUUUUCGAAUUGUGAUCACCACACAAUUAUAAGACAGACCAUAACGCAAGGGUUAUGACAUUGUUAAUCUUAACACGAUUCUGGAUGAAAUAUAUUACAAACUUCUGUCUCCUACGAAGUUUUCCGUUUUCCGUCGAUUCUGGUGUGCACACCCCAUUCAUUGGCCUUCGACGGGGGCAGUUAUCUUUGAAGACUUGAAAUUGGCCACCCAGUUAUCUCUAAUAGUUAGUUUACUGUUAUAUCUUAUAGCUAUAUAGGCAGUUUGCUUCGUUUCUCUAGAACAUUACAUUUGGGCUUGUUUCAUCAUGUAGAGUUUAAACCGAUAUCUUCACUAAAAGUCUAUCAAAUCACUUCUCUAUGUAAAGGUGUGUCCAAGACUGGUUAGCAGGUGUUCCUUUACUGUAACAUUUUGAUUCACAAAUUGAUGGGGUUCGUUUGCAAUUUGGAUUUAACUAUUGUUAUAUAUCACCAACGGUCAUCAAUUUAUCUAAAUAAGCUUGUUAUUGCCAUCAAUUUAUCUAAAUAAGCUUGUUAUUUCCAUCAAUUUAUCUAAAUAAGCUUGUUAUUGCCAAACUAGUAUUUUUCUAAUGAAGUCGUCUACAGAUGUCUACUGUUAUUAUUGUUUAUUUAUAUUAUAUUCAUGAUUAUGUUUAUUUACAAUGUAAGGUCAGUAGUGAGUAAACACUUCCAGUUGAUCAGAGCACUUGGGAAAAUCCUACCUCCCCCUUCCUAAAUGGGAGUUAGGGUUGGGUAGCCGGCUCGCAAUACUGACCAUUGAUGUUAGAAACGCUUACAAAGAUCAGAAUAUUUAGUUUUGGGUAACAUUAUACUUUAUAAGUACAUAUGAGGUCAACAUUCAAAAUUUUUCAUUGUCUAUAAUGUGUAUUGUGUUUGUCGUUGGUAACUCAAUCCGCCAUUUUAAAUAACCAUUUCAAAAAUACAAUUUUUUUCGAGGGG
Molecule: long non-coding RNA, 4270 nt
Organism: Patella vulgata (common limpet)
Lineage: Eukaryota; Metazoa; Mollusca; Gastropoda; Patellidae
Exons: 6
Source: RefSeq, a predicted model, not a curated record